This 397-nucleotide ribosomal RNA is filed under the name uncultured bacterium. RNAcentral describes it as "bacterial SSU rRNA". It matches the Rfam family "Bacterial small subunit ribosomal RNA", at positions 362 to 776 of the family's 1533-position model. The record is from RNAcentral.
UAUUGCCCAAUGGGGGAAACCCUGAGGCAGCAACGCCGCGUGGACGAAGACGGCCUUCGGGUUGUAAAGUCCUUUUCUGAGGGACGAUGAGGACGGUACCUCAGGAAUAAGUUACGGCUAACUACGUGCCAGCAGCCGCGGUAAAACGUAGGGGACAAGCGUUAUCCGGAUUUACUGGGCGUAAAGAGCCCGUAGGCGGUCAGCUAAGUUGGACGUGAAAGCUCCCGGCUUAACUGGGAGAGGUCGGACAAAACUGGCAGACUUGAGGCUGAGAGAGGCGAGCGGAAUUCCCGGUGUAGUGGUGGAAUGCGUAGAUAUCGGGAGGAACACCAGUGGCGAAGGCGGCUCGCUGGCUCAGACCUGACGCUGAGGGGCGAAAGCGUGGGGAGCGAACGGG